AUUGAACGCUGGCGGCAUGCCUUACACAUGCAAGUCGAACGGCAGCACGGGAGCAAUCCUGGUGGCGAGUGGCGAACGGGUGAGUAAUAUAUCGGAACGUGCCCAGUAGUGGGGGAUAGCCCGGCGAAAGCCGGAUUAAUACCGCAUACGACCUGAGGGUGAAAGCGGGUGAUCGCAAGACCUCGCGCUAUUGGAGCGGCCGAUAUCAGAUUAGCUAGUUGGUGGGGUAAAGGCCUACCAAGGCUACGAUCUGUAGUUGGUCUGAGAGGACGACCAGCCACACUGGGACUGAGACACGGCCCAGACUCCUACGGGAGGCAGCAGUGGGGAAUUUUGGACAAUGGGCGCAAGCCUGAUCCAGCAAUGCCGCGUGCAGGAAGAAGGCCU
Molecule: ribosomal RNA, 387 nt
Filed under: uncultured bacterium
Lineage: Bacteria
Description: bacterial SSU rRNA
Rfam family: Bacterial small subunit ribosomal RNA
Source: RNAcentral